GCGGUGGAUGAUGUGAUUAAUUCGAUGCAACGCGAAAACCUUACCUACCCUUGACAUGCCAGGACUUGCCAGAGAUGGCUUGGUGCCCGAAAGGGAGCCUGGACACAGGUGCUGCAUGGCUGUCGUCAGCUCGUGUCGUGAGAUGUUGGGUUAAGUCCCGCAACGAGCGCAACCCUUGUCGUUAAUUGCCAUCAUUUGGUUGGGCACUUUAACGAGACUGCCGGUGACAAACCGGAGGAAGGUGGGGAUGACGUCAAGUCCUCAUGGCCCUUAUGGGUAGGGCUUCACACGUCAUACAAUGGUCGGUACAGAGGGUUGCCAAGCCGUGAGGCGGAGCCAAUCCCAGAAAGCCGAUCGUAGUCCGGAUUGCAGGCUGCAACUCGCCUGCAUGAAGUCGGAAUCGCUAGUAAUCGCGGAUCAGCAUGUCGCGGUGAAUACGUUCCCGGGUCUUGUACACAC
This 459-nucleotide ribosomal RNA is filed under the name uncultured bacterium. RNAcentral describes it as "bacterial SSU rRNA". It matches the Rfam family "Bacterial small subunit ribosomal RNA", at positions 929 to 1390 of the family's 1533-position model. The record is from RNAcentral.